CAAUCAGAUGAAUGUCUGUGUGACUUGGGGCUUCACAGCAGUCUGAAAUUGCACUGGUCUGACGCUGAACCGCUUAACCCCCGCUCGCGUGGUUUAAUGCACUGAGGCGACGAUGCGGUGGGGCGUCGCAGCCACAGGCAUACGCAUAGCCAUAGCACCCGCCCUCAUCAAUGCAAUGUGCACAGCAUUGAACCGCUUAGCUCAGUAUUGAACAGUUAGCGUUGCUAAAACAACUUCGCGAAAAUAUUCAAGUACGAGAUUUUCAAAGUGAAAUAAUUAAAAAUUUGCGAGCUUGAUGUGAAAUAAAAUAAAUGCGUGAAUUAAUGUGAUACAGGUGCAAGUGAUAUGCUUUGUUGAUGCAAAUAAGCAAAAGAAUAUUUCAAAAAAAAAAAGUUUGUAUAAAAAAAAAUAAUCUAAAAAAAAUGUUGAGCUGCAAUAUUAAGCCAAUUAGUGAUAUAACGUGAAACACACCCAGUAAAUGUAAAAAGAAGCUGUGCAAUUUUUUGAAAAGUAAAUUCCAACAAAUCCGACAAAAAUAUUUCACCUUGCCCAUGGCAGCUACAGUCAGUCAUAUUUCAAGGUUUUAAGCUCGAAAAAAAUUUAUUUAAAUAUUAUUGCAUUUUCACAUUUUAUAUCAACGCUUGUAUUUAUGUGUGAUCGUUUGUGUCAUAAAUGCCAUAAUAAGCGAAAUAAAGAGGUAAACAGCAAGAAUUGCUGGAUUAUAUUUGCGUGCAUAUGCCAGCGCACACACAUCAGCAUGUACACGCAGGAGCAAUUGUAAGGGCAGAACGAUACACCAUUGCGUUUAAAUGCAGAAAGGAUUACAAACAUACAUAAUUUACUUACAAAAGGAUAUAUGCACAUAUCAUACGCCACGUCGAACAUCAGCCAACAGCGGUGCAUAAAUACAAAAGCAGCACAUACACACACUUAAUCAUACAAAGUACACAUAAGUGUCGUAGUUAACAUUUUAUAUAUUUAACGCACACACACACACACGUACGCGCAAAAUGGAAGACAACAAUAUAAUCGGAGAGGAGGAGGAGACGACCACAUCAACCUCCAAAUGGCGGAAAACGCGUACCACAGUUAAGACUUCAUCUACAACAAAGACUACCACUCUUACUACACCUGCAAAAUUAUAUGGCAAGGACUUGAGCGAAUAUGAUGAGGUUGAUGUUGAUGCUCUGCUGGCACAGUUGUCACCAGAAGAAAUCAACAUUUUAGCCAAAGAAGUUGAUCCCGAUGACAAUUUCCUGCCACCCGAUCAACGUUGCAGCUAUGAAUGCGACAAAGACCCCACCGGCCCAUUGAAUCGUAAGAAGUUGAUUGAACACAUUAACAAACAAGCCUUGGAAGCACCAGAUGAACCCGAAUUCGAACCUUACGUUAAGGGUACUGUACGUGGUAAGAAAUGGGUGCCACCGGCAAGGGAUGAAAGCGAAAUUGCCGCUGAAGAACAGAUCGCUAUCGAUUUGGGCGAUGAAUAUGAACAUGCGCUGAGCGAUGCUACCCAAGAAGAGAUCAUCGAUUUGGCUGCUAUACUUGGUUUCCAUUCGAUGAUGAAUCAGGAUCAAUAUCAUGCUUCAUUGUUGAACAAAGGUCAGCCAGUUGGUAUGGGUUGGGACGGUAUUACAAAAUCAACUCAACCAAAAUUGUUCCCCAUGGAUCCACCAAAUAACACAGAUGUCGAGGAAUCAAUUAAACGUGUAAAAGAUAACGAUACAAAAUUGAUUGAACUGAACUUAAAUAAUAUUAAGAACAUUUCCGAUGAGAAAUUCGAACAACUUUUCCAAGUACUGCCCGAUAAUGAACAUUUGGAAGUUCUGUCCUUAACAAAUGUCGGUCUAACCGAUAAAACGGCUCUCCUAUUGGCUGAAGCAAUUGAGAAAAGCAAAACCCUGAGAGUAUUAAAUGUUGAAACAAAUUUCAUUAGUCCACCUGUUGUUGUGACUUUAGUGAAGGCCCUGCUCAAGUGUCGCACAAUUGAAGAGUUCAGGGCAUCCAAUCAGCGAUCCUCAGUGCUCGGUAAUAAGAUCGAAAUGGAAAUAACCGAAUUAGUGGAAAAGAACUCAUCGUUACUCAGAUUAGGUCUGCAUUUGGAAUUCAAUGAUGCGCGUCACAGAGUCGCCGCACAUUUGCAACGUAACAUCGAUAGAAUAAGAAAAGAUCUUGAGUUACGUCUGCAGUUCAGAUUUUUCAAUAAUCUGCAUAGAAAGUCAACAAGAAUUCAGUAAAAUAAAGAAUGAUCUUAAAAAGUCGAUAUAUAUAUAUAUAUACAUAUAUUUAUAUAUAAAAUGAAUGAAGUAAAACCAAAUAAACAAAAAAAAAAUAUUUACUAAAUAUUUAACGCACUCGUAAGUUAAGACACCAAAUAAACAAAGCGACAAUUGCAAGCAAAUGCUUAAUAAACAAGAAUAGAAAACAAAAAUACGGCAAAACACCGCAUGGACAAUUCAACUUAAACUACCAAGAAAAAAGGAAGAAAAUUGCAAGCAAAAGUUGCUUCGACGUCAUUAAUGAACGCUGUCGAAAUUUCGUAAGGAAUAUUAAAGCAGCAAGCGAGUUGGCUUCUGCGUGAAAUACAUAGAAAAACGCUUGAUUUUGACGUCUUAGCACUUUAUAAUGCAAGCAGCGAGUAUAAAAUAAUACAUAUAUGGAUAUAUAAUUUAGGCGUAAAAAAUAUAUGAAAAUAAAAAUAAUUUCGUUAAAAAUGAGGAAAAAAUGUGAUUUUGAAAAAUCAAACAAGAACACUGCUUCGACAGCAACAGUGCAUAGCUGCAAAUACUAUUCGCACACGAAAAAUCAUUAAUUAUCACAAACCUUAAAUCCAACCAAAGAAGAAAAUCAUUUACACAAAAUGAUAUGUUACACAAGAGAAAAACUUAGGUUUACGUUAAAUCAUAUAUUAAUAUUUUCACAUGCACCACCAUACGAUUAAAAUGCGUGUGACAUAUGAGAAAAAAAGCCGAAGACGAAGAAGACGAAAAACAGAUAUUGAUACUGAUUUAAACACGGAAGUUUCGGGAUAUUCUAAAUGAUUUCUAGGCGUAAAUAUUUAUAAAAUUAAACAAGGAAUUAAACUGCGAUUUAAAUUAUUAAGAGAAAUAAUAACUCUACCCAACAAAAUAAUAAAGCUAACUACAGAUGAGCCUUAACGAAUAAGAGACUUGAAACAUUUAACUCAGAAACGAAGCACAAAAAGCAUAUCCCUCUAAACAGUAAUACCAUGGAAAAAACAACACAAUACUUCACUUAAAAUACCUACAAGCAUCCUUAUAAUUUUACUGAUAACGGUAAAAUAAUAUAUUCAAUCAUAAAACACAGCAAAAUGAAACCAAAAAUAAAUUAUAAAUUAAAUGGAAAAAAAAUAAAAAAUAAAAAA
Molecule: unclassified non-coding RNA, 3385 nt
Filed under: Rhagoletis pomonella (apple maggot)
Lineage: Eukaryota; Metazoa; Arthropoda; Insecta; Diptera; Tephritidae
Description: tropomodulin, transcript variant X7
Source: RNAcentral